AUUGCCUUAGUACGGCGAGUGAAGCGGCAAAAGCUCAAAUUUGAAAUCUGGCACCUUCGGUGUCCGAGUUGUAAUUUGAAGAAGGUAACUUUGGAGUUGGCUCUUGUCUAUGUUCCUUGGAACAGGACGUCACAGAGGGUGAGAAUCCCGUGCGAUGAGAUGCCCAAUUCUAUGUAAAGUGCUUUCGAAGAGUCGAGUUGUUUGGGAAUGCAGCUCUAAGUGGGUGGUAAAUUCCAUCUAAAGCUAAAUAUUGGCGAGAGACCGAUAGCGAACAAGUACAGUGAUGGAAAGAUGAAAAGAACUUUGAAAAGAGAGUGAAAAAGUACGUGAAAUUGUUGAAAGGGAAGGGCUUGAGAUCAGACUUGGUAUUUUGCGAUCCUUUCCUUCUUGGUUGGGUUCCUCGCAGCUUACUGGGCCAGCAUCGGUUUGGAUGGUAGGAUAAUGACUAAGGAAUGUGGCUCUACUUCGGUGGAGUGUUAUAGCCUUGGUUGAUACUGCCUGUCUAGACCGAGGACUGCGUCUUUUGACUAGGAUGUUGGCAUAAUGAUCUUAAACCACCCGUCUU
RNAcentral lists this ribosomal RNA (565 nucleotides) under Debaryomyces hansenii. Its description in RNAcentral is "partial large subunit ribosomal RNA". It matches the Rfam family "Eukaryotic large subunit ribosomal RNA", at positions 74 to 655 of the family's 3401-position model. The record is from RNAcentral. Lineage: Eukaryota; Fungi; Ascomycota; Pichiomycetes; Serinales; Debaryomycetaceae.